RNAcentral lists this ribosomal RNA (458 nucleotides) under uncultured bacterium. RNAcentral's name for it is "partial 16S ribosomal RNA". It matches the Rfam family "Bacterial small subunit ribosomal RNA", at positions 338 to 795 of the family's 1533-position model. The record is from RNAcentral.
CCUACGGGUGGCAGCAGUGAGGAAUAUUGGUCAAUGGCCGGAAGGCUGAACCAGCCAUGCCGCGUGAAGGUCAGUGCCCUAUGGGCGUUAAACUUCUUUUGUGCGGGAGCAAUAAUGGUCACGUGUGGCCAGACGAGAGUACCGUACGAAUAAGCAUCGGCUAACUCCGUGCCAGCAGCAGCGGUAAUACGGGGAUGCAAGCGUUAUCCGGAUUUAUUGGGUGUAAAGGGUGCGUAGACGGGAAAACAAGUUAGUUGUGAAAUCCCUCGGCUUAACUGAGGAACUGCAACUAAAACUAUUUUUCUUGAGUGCAGGAGAGGUAAGUGGAAUUCCUAGUGUAGCGGUGAAAUGCGUAGAUAUUAGGAGGAACACCAGUGGCGAAGGCGACUUACUGGACUGUAACUGACGUUGAGGCACGAAAGCGUGGGUAGCAAACAGGAUUAGAUACCCUUGUAGUC